AACGCACGAGACCUGCGGACCUGCGGAGGGAUCAUUAGUGAACGCCCUCACGGGCUUAUAACUAUUCCAAACCUCUGUGAACCGUGCCCUUCGGGGCCAUUUUACAAACAUGGUGUAAUGAACGUCAUAUAUCAUAACAAAACAAAACUUUCAACAAUGGAUCUCU
Molecule: unclassified non-coding RNA, 166 nt
Filed under: soil metagenome
Description: partial contains 5.8S ribosomal RNA, internal transcribed spacer 2, and large subunit ribosomal RNA
Source: RNAcentral